AACGUUUCGAAAGGAACGCUAAUACCGCAUACGUCCUACGGGAGAAAGCAGGGACCUUCGGGCCUUGCGCUAUCAGAUGAGCCUAGGUCGGAUUAGCUAGUUGGUGAGGUAAUGGCUCACCAAGGCGACGAUCCGUAACUGGUCUGAGAGGAUGAUCAGUCACACUGGAACUGAGACACGGUCCAGACUCCUACGGGAGGCAGCAGUA
Molecule: ribosomal RNA, 208 nt
Filed under: uncultured Pseudomonas sp.
Lineage: Bacteria; Pseudomonadati; Pseudomonadota; Gammaproteobacteria; Pseudomonadales; Pseudomonadaceae
Description: partial 16S ribosomal RNA
Rfam family: Bacterial small subunit ribosomal RNA
Source: RNAcentral